UGUAAAUCGCAGCUUACACAUGCAGUCGAGCGCACUCUUCGGAGUGAGCGGCGGACGGGUUAGUAACGCGUGGGAACGUGCCCUUCUCUAAGGAAUAGCCACUGGAAACGGUGAGUAAUACCUUAUACGCCCUUCGGGGGAAAGAUUUAUCGGAGAAGGAUCGGCCCGCGUUAGAUUAGAUAGUUGGUGGGGUAAUGGCCUACCAAGUCUACGAUCUAUAGCUGGUUUUAGAGGAUGAUCAGCAACACUGGGACUGAGACACGGCCCAGACUCCUACGGGAGGCAGCAGUGGGGAAUCUUGGACAAUGGGCGCAAGCCUGAUCCAGCCAUGCCGCGUGAGUGAUGAAGGCCUUAGGGUCGUAAAGCUCUUUCGCCAGAGAUGAUAAUGACAGUAUCUGGUAAAGAAACCCCGGCUAACUCCGUGCCAGCAGCCGCGGUAAUACGGAGGGGGUUAGCGUUGUUCGGAAUUACUGGGCGUAAAGCGCACGUAGGCGGAUCAGAAAGUAUAGGGUGAAAUCCCAGGGCUCAACCCUGGAACUGCCUUGUAAACUCCUGGUCUUGAGUUCGAGAGAGGUGAGUGGAAUUCCGAGUGUAGAGGUGAAAUUCGUAGAUAUUCGGAGGAACACCAGUGGCGAAGGCGGCUCACUGGCUCGAUACUGACGCUGAGGUGCGAAAGUGUGGGGAGCAAACAGGAUUAGAUACCCU
Molecule: ribosomal RNA, 705 nt
Filed under: Phaeobacter sp.
Lineage: Bacteria; Pseudomonadati; Pseudomonadota; Alphaproteobacteria; Rhodobacterales; Roseobacteraceae
Description: bacterial SSU rRNA
Rfam family: Bacterial small subunit ribosomal RNA
Source: RNAcentral